Molecule: ribosomal RNA, 270 nt
Filed under: uncultured archaeon
Lineage: Archaea
Description: partial 16S ribosomal RNA
Rfam family: Archaeal small subunit ribosomal RNA
Source: RNAcentral
CAGCACCUCAAGUGGUCAGGAUGAUUAUCGGGCCUAAAGCGUCCGUAGCCGGCGCUGUAAGUUUUCGGUUAAAUCUGUACGCUCAACGUACAGGCUGCCGGGAAUACUGCAGCGCUAGGGAGUGGGAGAGGUAGACGGUACUCGGUAGGAAGGGGUAAAAUCCUUUGAUCUAUUGAUGACCACCUGUGGCGAAGGCGGUCUACCAGAACACGUCCGACGGUGAGGGAUGAAAGCUGGGGGAGCAAACCGGAUUAGAUACCCGAGUAGUCC